Molecule: non-coding RNA, 337 nt
Organism: Callithrix jacchus (white-tufted-ear marmoset)
Lineage: Eukaryota; Metazoa; Chordata; Mammalia; Primates; Cebidae
Source: Rfam
GGAUGUGAGGGUGAUCUGGGUGCAACAUCUGUCACCCCAUUAAUCACCAGGGUUGAUUCAGCUGACCUGGCUGGUUAGUCGGGUGUCCCCUUCCUCCCUCACUCUUCCAUGUAUGUCCCUCCUGAAGCUGCAUGCUUGGUCUAAGGGGAUGACCAUCCCUAUUAAAGGAGGACCAGUCUUUGGUCAAGGGUAUACAAGCAACUGCACUCCCCUGCUAGAACCUCCAAACAAGCUCUCGAGGAAUAUAAAGUGUUCUGUUAUAAAGACACAUAAACAUAAAUGUUCAUUGAAGCACUAUUCACAAUAGCAAAAACAUGGAAUCAACCUAAAUGUCCAU